UGCACUUCUUCUCUCUCCAUGCCUCCUGCAUCAGAUCAGAUAAGUCACACUACUUGCACAGGCCAGGCGCUUUCACUGCACCAACUAACUAUCAGUUGUACAAUGCGAUCGGUGUUGCCACUGCUACCACACCAUAUAUACUUACCUUCCUUGUUUGUCGAUCCAUUGCCACCAUUCAUUCAAGGGGAGAGAUGGAUCGAUUCGAUUCGCCAUGGCUGUGUUCCUCCUCCUCCUCCUCAUGGUUGCUCUCACCAGUGUCCACACCAGCGACAAGGCGAGCGUGGUGAUGAGGUUUGGAGCUCACACCAUCACGGUCCACUUCGAAGUUCUGUAACAUGCAUGCAUGCAUGUUGGUUUCUUAGUCAAGAGUCAAGACUCUUUAGAAUCAAAGUUUUAAAUAGCGCGCUAAGCCUCUUAGCGGCGGACCUCUUUCAAAUACUAUAGCGUACUAUAGCGGAGCUAUAGCGAGCUAUUUAAAAUGUUUGCUCAAGUGUUUGAACAAAAGACUCUUAGCGCGGGACCUUUUGUAAACGCUAUAGCGGGCUAUUUAAAAUCAUGCUUAGAAUAAUGACGCCCCAUGGACCAGGAUCCUAUGGGCUAUGCUACUCCUUUCUGCCUUUCUUUCUUUUCAUGACUAUUACCAUUGUACGUUUAUCAGGUUUGUCUGUGUGACCAAGCUUUAUUUGCGUCUUCAAUGUAGUAGUAUUACUUUGUGCCAAACAAUGUUUACGUUACAUUUGGAAAUAAACAUUUUUACUACUUGUUGACAUCA
This 772-nucleotide long non-coding RNA is filed under the name Triticum aestivum (bread wheat). RNAcentral's name for it is "long non-coding RNA (TAES_LNC026504)". Lineage: Eukaryota; Viridiplantae; Streptophyta; Magnoliopsida; Poales; Poaceae. The record is from RNAcentral.